CACGGAGUUAGCCGGUGCUUAUUCAUACAGUACCUUCAGCUAGAUACACGUAUCUAGGUUUAUCCCUGUAUAAAAGAAGUUUACAAUCCAUAGGACCGUCAUCCUUCACGCGGGAUGGCUGGAUCAGGCUCUCACCCAUUGUCCAAUAUUCCUCACUGCUGCCUCCCGUAGGAGUCUGGUCCGUGUCUCAGUACCAGUGUGGGGGAUCUCCCUCUCAGGACCCCUAAAGAUCAUUGACUUGGUGAGCCGUUACCUCACCAACUAUCUAAUCUUGCGCGUGCCCAUCUCUAUCCACCGGAGUUUUCAAUCCGAAUGAUGCCAUUCAAUAUAUUAUGGAGUAUUAAUCUUCCUUUCGAAAGGCUAUUCCCCUGAUAAAGGUAGGUUGCACACGUGUUACGCACCCGUACGCCGCUCUCAAAGUCCCGAAGGACUUCUACCGCUCGGCUUGCAUGUGUUAGGCCUCCCGCUAGCGUUCAUCCUGAGCCAGGAUCAAAC
Molecule: ribosomal RNA, 495 nt
Filed under: uncultured Chryseobacterium sp.
Lineage: Bacteria; Pseudomonadati; Bacteroidota; Flavobacteriia; Flavobacteriales; Weeksellaceae
Description: partial 16S ribosomal RNA
Source: RNAcentral